GCAUAUCAAUAAGCGGAGGAAAAGAAACCAACAGGGAUUGCCCUAGUAACGGCGAAGUGAAGCGGCAACAGCUCAAAUUUGAAAUCUGGCCCUAGUGGUCCGAGUUGUAAUUUGUAGAGGAUGCUUUGGGUGCGGUGCCUUCUGAGUUCCCUGGAACGGGACGCCAGAGAGGGUGAGAGCCCCGUACGGUUGGACACCUAGCCUAUAUAUAGCUCCUUCGACGAGUCGAGUAGUUUGGGAAUGCUGCUCUAAAUGGGAGGUAUAUUUCUUCUAAAGCUAAAUACCGGCCAGAGACCGAUAGCGCACAAGUAGAGUGAUCGAAAGAUGAAAAGCACUUUGAAAAGAGGGUUAAAUAGCACGUGAAAUUGUUGAAAGGGAAGCGUUUGCGACCAGACCUUUUCCGGGCGGAUCAUCCGGCGUUCUCGCCGGUGCACUUCGCCCGGUUUAGGCCAGCAUCGGUUUUCUUAGGGGGAUAAAGGCCAGGGGAACGUAGCUCUUUCGGGAGUGUUAUAGCCCCUGGUGUAAUACCCUUCAGGGGACCGAGGACCGCGCUUUUGCAAGGAUGCUGGCGUAAUGGUCGUCAACGACCCGUCUUGAAACACGGACCAAGGAGUCGAACAUUGGUGCGAGUGUUUGGGUGUUAAACCCUCACGCGUAAUGAAAGUGAACGGAGGUGAGAGCCCUUACGGGUGCAUCAUCGACCGAUCCUGAUGUCUUCGGAUGGAUUUGAGUAAGAGCAUCACUGUUCGGACCCGAAAGAUGGUGAACUAUGCGUGGAUAGGGUGAAGCCAGAGGAAACUCUGGUGGAGGCUCGCAGCGGUUCUGACGUGCAAAUCGAUCGUCAAAUCUGCGCAUGGGGGCGAAAGACUUAUCGAACCAUCUAGUAGCUGGUUACC
RNAcentral lists this ribosomal RNA (896 nucleotides) under Hypoxylon griseobrunneum. Its description in RNAcentral is "LSU rRNA". It matches the Rfam family "Eukaryotic large subunit ribosomal RNA", at positions 38 to 959 of the family's 3401-position model. Lineage: Eukaryota; Fungi; Ascomycota; Sordariomycetes; Xylariales; Hypoxylaceae. The record is from RNAcentral.